This is a long non-coding RNA of Argiope bruennichi, 1950 nucleotides long. RefSeq lists it as uncharacterized. The transcript is spliced from 5 exons. The record is from RefSeq and is a predicted model, not a curated record. Lineage: Eukaryota; Metazoa; Arthropoda; Arachnida; Araneae; Araneidae.
CUCUGUUUUCCCUUUAGUUCGUAGUUGGAUGUCAACGUUGAGGAAGAAAAAUCUAGUAUCAGUAUUCUGCUCCGCAAUUUUGAUUCCAUCCAUGCUAUCCAUCGAUAAUUUAUCUUAAACUACGGAAAUUCGAUCGGAUUAGAGAAAACCGUAUUUGAUGUCUAUUGUAAGCCGUCUAUUGGCAUGUCUUUAAUUAUUACAAGUGGCCCAUGGUUACAAAGGUUAUUUCACCUAUUAGAGAAUUCAGACUAACCCAAGAGCGCUCAAUAAAAAGUGUAUCCAGUAAAUACACAGCCUUUUCAUGGAAAACUUCGUGCAACCAAAGAUAUUUCUGAAAUAUUUAUUGAUAUCGCAUCAACUCUGGAACCCUUCUCUACUGGAUGAUUGGAAGAACCGUUUUUUCAGCUGCAAAUGGAAUGGAUAUAGUUGGAAGGUCCGAUUUUGAAAUUCUUCGACACAUGGGGCAGGAUUAGCAAAGAGUAAGAUUAAAAGAAAUCUUUUUGCAUCCUAUUGAUGGUCGAAUGGAGAGUAAUAUCUGCUUUUUAGCUAGAAAUCAAGCCUUCAGAAAGAAAAAAAGAUUCAUUUUGAGAAAGUUAUCCAUCUUUUACUACCAAAUCGUUCCAAUCCCUCAUCCUGGAGAGGGGCAUGUGGUGGUUGUCAUUUGAUGAUUCUCUAGAAAAACUGAAUGCCAGAGUUUUUGCUUUUACAAGAAAUAUAUUAUUCUAUCAUUCGUAAAAAACUAUCGACAAACUCCACCCUUAUUAAAUUCUUACUGCAGCUUCAAAGAGUGGUGGACCGAUACCGUGGAUAUAAUAUGUAAUGAGAAGAGAGAAAAAAACAUCUUAAUCUCGAAGAAAUAUAUUAUCAAUUCGACAGGGAAAUUUUGUUACGAUAACAAUUCUGAUAUACGAUAACAAUUCAACAUACAAAGACAUCCUCUAACAUCAAUAAAAGCUCAUUUUAAUUUGCACCCUAAAAAUUAGUUUUUUAUCCUUGCAAACAAAUUUUGGAUAAAGAAGUUGUCGAAACAAAUAACACUGUAAAGAAAAAAAAAUGAAAAUUGAAAAGAAAAAUGAUGUCAUCCGAUAAAGGUUGAAAAUUACAUCUCUAAUAACUGGGUAUUUCCUGUCUUCAACUGUUUGUGCAACUAUUUCAAAGAUGCGUAUAAUAUACUUUAAAUUCACAUGUUUUUUAUUCUUGUGAGCAAAUUAACUGAUGCUUUGAAAAGCAUUUAUUAAUACUUUCAUUAUUGCAUCAUCAAAUCGACGAUCAUCUUCCAGUUCCGGAAUGUGAGAGCAAAACAACCAAUUCUCAGGAAGCAUUUAUGUUUCCUGCUAAAUCGCAACUUUUUCUGCUAUGGCGAUUGACUUUACUUUCUUUCCACUGCUUUAUGAACAUUAUGAGUGAUUCUAAAUUCGAUUUAUGACUAAAAAGACAAUUAUUACAAAGUGCAAAAUAGUAGUAGAACAUUGUAACUUUCAACUCUUGCGUCUUUAUAUUUUAGUUAUGCAACUUGUGACAUUUUUUUCUCUUCGACUAAAAAUAUCGUAUUCUGUGCUUUUUUGAAUAAUAAUACUUCUCUCCCACAAAAGAAAAGGGAGGACCCCUCAUCACAUGCAUCCAGACGCUUGCCUAUUUUAUGAGCUGGUAUGCUAGUGCUUUGUGGUCAAGCAGCAAAAGUGUGUCAGUUUUUUUCCCCCUCUUUAAGUCGCACCGAUUAAUUAUUUUCGAAUACUCUAAAUGUAAGAUAAAUUGAUAUUUAAAACUAUUAAUCAUGUUUCAUAAUAUAUGACUUAAAUAUUUGGGUAAUUUAUGCCAAUAAAUAGCGAUUUUAAAUGUUUAGGAAUUAUUUAGUUUCAAAUCAAAUGUUACUUCUUUGUCGACUUUGGAUGUAUUUUAUGCAUAAUAUUUUUGUAGUCCAGAACCUAAAACGGCAAUGAAAAAUAAAUA